This 153-nucleotide ribosomal RNA is filed under the name uncultured fungus. RNAcentral's name for it is "5.8S ribosomal RNA". It matches the Rfam family "5.8S ribosomal RNA". Rfam says of the family: 5.8S ribosomal RNA (5.8S rRNA) is a component of the large subunit of the eukaryotic ribosome. It is transcribed by RNA polymerase I as part of the 45S precursor that also contains 18S and 28S rRNA. The record is from RNAcentral. Lineage: Eukaryota; Fungi.
AACUUUCAACAACGGAUCUCUUGGUUCUGGCAUCGAUGAAGAACGCAGCGAAAUGCGAUAAGUAAUGUGAAUUGCAGAAUUCAGUGAAUCAUCGAAUCUUUGAACGCACAUUGCGCCCCUUGGUAUUCCGAGGGGCGUGCCUGUUCGAGCGUC